Molecule: ribosomal RNA, 465 nt
Filed under: uncultured bacterium
Lineage: Bacteria
Description: partial 16S ribosomal RNA
Rfam family: Bacterial small subunit ribosomal RNA
Source: RNAcentral
CCUACGGGAGGCAGCAGUAGGGAAUCUUCCACAAUGGGCGCAAGCCUGAAGGAGCAAUACCGCGUGAGUGAAGAAGGGUUUCGGCUCGUAAAGCUCUGUUGUGGGGGAAGAAAGUGAGUAACAGUAACUGUUCACGCAGUGACGGUAUCCAACCAGAAAGUCACGGCUAACUACGUGCCAGCAGCCGCGGUAAUACGUAGGUGGCAAGCAUUAUCCGGAUUGAUUGGGCGUAAAGCGAGCGCAGGCGGUUGCUAAGGUCUGAUGUGAAACCCAUCGGCUGAACUGAAGAAGUGCAUCGGAAACCGGGCGACUUCAGGGCAGGAGAGGACAGUGGAACUCCAGGUGUAGCGGUUGAAUGCGUAGAUAUAUGGAAGAACACCAGUGGCGAAGGCGGCUGUCUGGUCUGCAACUGACGCUGAGGCUCGAAAGCGUGGGUAGCAAACAGGAUUAGAUACCCUAGUAGUC